CCCUGGGAGGGCAUGGGAAGGUCCCUGCCUGUCUUGUGACCCUGUGCCUGUCCCCACUGCAGGGUGAAGGUGGCUUGAGGGGUGAACGAGGAGAGCCUGGUGAGAAGGGCAGGGACGGCAACCCCGGUCUCCCGGGUGAGAGAGGGCUGGCAGGCCCUGAGGGGAAGCCGGGCUUGCCAGGCUUUCCUGGCGUGCUGGG
Non-coding RNA from Lonchura striata (white-rumped munia), 199 nucleotides. The record is from RefSeq and is a predicted model, not a curated record. NCBI's taxonomy places the organism in Eukaryota, Metazoa, Chordata, Aves, Passeriformes, Estrildidae.